AGUGAACGCUGGCGGUAGACCUAACACAUGCAAGUCGAACGGCAGCACAGUAAGAGCUUGCUCUUACGGGUGGCGAGUGGCGGACGGGUGAGGAAUACAUCGGAAUCUACUUUUUCGUGGGGGAUAACGUAGGGAAACUUACGCUAAUACCGCAUACGACCUACGGGUGAAAGCAGGGGAUCUUCGGACCUUGCGCGAUUGAAUGAGCCGAUGUCGGAUUAGCUAGUUGGCGGGGUAAAGGCCCACCAAGGCGACGAUCCGUAGCUGGUCUGAGAGGAUGAUCAGCCACACUGGAACUGAGACACGGUCCAGACUCCUACGGGAGGCAGCAGUGGGGAAUAUUGGACAAUGGGCGCAAGCCUGAUCCAGCGAUACCGCGUGGGUGAAGAAGGCCUUCGGGUUGUAAAGCCCUUUUGUUGGGAAAGAAAAGCAGCAGGUUAAUACCCCGCUGUUCUGACGGUACCCAAAGAAUAAGCACCGGCUAACUUCGUG
This 492-nucleotide ribosomal RNA is filed under the name uncultured bacterium. Its description in RNAcentral is "partial 16S ribosomal RNA". It matches the Rfam family "Bacterial small subunit ribosomal RNA", at positions 29 to 507 of the family's 1533-position model. The record is from RNAcentral.